Molecule: ribosomal RNA, 469 nt
Filed under: uncultured bacterium
Lineage: Bacteria
Description: bacterial SSU rRNA
Rfam family: Bacterial small subunit ribosomal RNA
Source: RNAcentral
CAGUCACACGAGUUUGAUCCUGGCUCAGGAUGAACGCUGGCGGCGUGCCUAAUACAUGCAAGUCGAGCGGAAAGGCCUCUUCGGAGGUACUCGAGCGGCGGACGGCUGAGUAACGCGUAGGAACGUACCCCAAAGUGAGGGAUAACUGCUCGAAAGAGUAGCUAAUACCGCAUGUGGUCUAAGGAUUAAAGCUUCGGCGCUUUGGGAACGGCCUGCGUAAGAUUAGCUUGUUGGUGAGGUAACGGCUCACCAAGGCGACGAUCUUUAGCUGGUCUGAGAGGAUGAUCAGCCAGACUGGGACUGAGAACGGCCCAGACUCCUACGGGAGGCAGCAGUAGGGAAUUUUCCACAAUGGGCGAAAGCCUGAUGGAGCAACGCCGCGUGCAGGAUGAAUGCCUUCGGGUUGUAAACUGCUUUAUAUGUGACGAUUAUGACGGUAGCAUAUGAAUAAGGAUCGGCUAAUUCCGUG